Molecule: long non-coding RNA, 344 nt
Filed under: Homo sapiens (human)
Lineage: Eukaryota; Metazoa; Chordata; Mammalia; Primates; Hominidae
Description: non-protein coding lnc-STRADB-5:1
Source: RNAcentral
AUAAUUAACCUUACAUUAACUUUAGCAACUAAUACAUCAUUAGCACGACUACUUGUAAUCAUCACAUUCUGCUUCCCACAACUAAACAUCUAUACAGAAAAAUCAAGCUCAUACAAAUGUGGAUUUGAUCUAAUAGGCACUGUCUGCCUGCCAUUUCCAGAAAAUUUUUUGUAUUAACUAUUACAUUUCUAUUCAACCUAGAAAUUUCCCUCCUAUUACUACUACCAUGAGCAUCUCAAGUAAUCCAAAAGUUAUUCUUACUAUAGCUCUAAUUUUAAACUGCAUUCUAGACUUAGGCCUAAGCUUAUGAAUGAAUCCAAGAUGGACUAGAAUGAGUGACUUAA